AGGUCGGUAGUUUAACUGGUAAAAUCUACGUCUCCAAAACGUUAAGACUAAUGGUUCAAAUCCAUUCCGGCCUG
Molecule: transfer RNA, 74 nt
Filed under: Treponema sp.
Lineage: Bacteria; Pseudomonadati; Spirochaetota; Spirochaetia; Treponematales; Treponemataceae
Also listed under: 1 other name
Description: tRNA-Trp
Rfam family: tRNA
About the family: Transfer RNA (tRNA) molecules are approximately 80 nucleotides in length.
Source: RNAcentral